GUGAAAUGAUGAUGAAGUUUAUCCAUUCUCUGAAUGUGUUGCUCUGCUCUUCCUGCAGCCCUCAGCUCCUGUUCUGGGAACUCUGAGUUAUGUAACCUCCAGACGCCCUCCAGGCUUGCAGCGUUCUGCUGUACUUGGCAGGGGUGUGUGGUGGUCUUACUAGUAGGAAGAGAUGGUGUCAGCAGGGGCGGAACCCAAUCAGUUUAAGGGCCCACUCAAGACGAAUGACUGAUGUCUGAUCAC
Molecule: small nucleolar RNA, 243 nt
Filed under: Vombatus ursinus (common wombat)
Lineage: Eukaryota; Metazoa; Chordata; Mammalia; Diprotodontia; Vombatidae
Description: Small nucleolar RNA SNORD17 (ENSVURG00010006559.1)
Rfam family: Small nucleolar RNA SNORD17
About the family: The snoRNA HBI-43 belongs to the C/D family of snoRNAs, guiding 2'O-ribose methylation at position U3797 of the 28S rRNA. Pseudouridylation in position U3797 is predicted to be guided by the H/ACA snoRNA ACA48.
Source: Rfam by way of RNAcentral